UAUAACAAAUGAUUGAAACAACGACGAAAUGAAGUAUAAAUACUCUGACUUAAUUUUGUCAAAUUUACAAUAUCAAAGUACGUAUAAAAAUUUAAGCUAUACUAAAAGUUAGAAGAAUUCUUCAAUAUAUUGUUAUAACAAUUGAAAUUAUUCGCUAAAGAAGUGAACAAUUAAUUGAAUAAUUCAAUUGAUGAGUAAACAAAACAAUUCAAUAUGAAAACAAAAAGCAUUUUUUUUAUCAGUUAUUUGUCAAUUUUAAUUCAAAAAGAAUCUGCAUUUGAUAAUUUCAAAAUAGACUUGAAUCAUUUAUAUGCUGAUGAUUGGAAUAAUACCUGGACCUAUAUUAUCGACAUAGCGAAUGCUAAUCAAAUUACCACUAAUAAUCCAGUAGAAAAAGCAGCAUGGGAAUAUACAAUCAUGAUAGUUGGUGUAACACCGUAUCCUUCUUCAUCGAUUUUCAUAAAAUGUGCUGAGAUUGUCCUUCCAUAUUUAUAUAAUAAAACGUACGUGCCUUUGGCAAGUAGGAUCAGAAACGGCUUUAUUGAUUUCGGAAUUAAUUUGGAUAAAAUGUAUGAUGUAAUAUUACAUGAUCUUCAGAGAAAAAACAUAGACGACAAAUAUUAUGGCAUACCAAAAUCCUUUUCUGAACGCUUUAUGAAAAAAAAAAAUAAAUAGUUGUAAUUAUAAUGUAACUACAUAAAAGUACUAAAAAUAUCGAAAGAUACAUGUAAAUGUCAUAGUAUACUUGUAAAUUGCAGAAAUGCGUUAAAUAAAUAUAUAAAUAAAUAAAUACAUCAUAUAUUAAUAACUGUACAUAAAGCUAUCAUGUAUAUAUGUUUAGAUACAUUUAUAUUAACAUAUGUUCACAUAUUUUUGUGCAAUUAUAUAUGUUGACAUAUAUCUAUACCAAUAUAUUUAUAUGCAUUUAUAUAAAUAUGUGUUCAUAUAUAUUUAUAUAAGUAUAUAUUUACAUGUAUAAUUAUUAUAUGUCAAUCAUAUACUUGAAUCUUAUAUCUUAUGAUAUAAUUUAAAUUAUAGUCCCGUAAAAAAUAAAUCAUACAUGGCCAUGUAUGCCUCUACAUGAUCAUACGUGACCAUGUAUGCCCAUACAUAGCUUGAUACGGCCAUAUAUGACUUGAUAUGACUAUGUAUAGAAAUUUUAACUAAAUUGAAAAAAAAAUUUUUUUUUUGUGUUUAAAUAUUUUGGCGACGCAGAGAUUAUCAGGUAUGCGAAUAAUUGAAUUCCUAAUCGAAUUGGAAAUUUUUAAUUCAAAGAAAAAACGCUAAACUUAUUAAUGACCGCACCCGCUUUAGGAGGAUUCGAACCCGGGAUCUUCUGUACGAGAGACCGACGCUUUGACGACUAGGCUAUGCGACCGACAGUUACAACGAAGUUUAGUUGUGCUACGUAAGAUUGAAAGAAUAUAAUCACUUUCGGAAAAGCAAAAUAUGAUCAUCAAUAUGCUGUGAGCGAUAUCAAUAAAAUUUACGAUUUUUUAUACACUACAACAUCCUGUUUAUAACUUAACAGAUUUCCA
Long non-coding RNA from Microplitis mediator, 1538 nucleotides. RefSeq lists it as uncharacterized. The record is from RefSeq and is a predicted model, not a curated record. NCBI's taxonomy places the organism in Eukaryota, Metazoa, Arthropoda, Insecta, Hymenoptera, Braconidae. The transcript has 4 exons.